Long non-coding RNA from Octopus bimaculoides (California two-spot octopus), 6003 nucleotides. NCBI's taxonomy places the organism in Eukaryota, Metazoa, Mollusca, Cephalopoda, Octopoda, Octopodidae. The record is from RefSeq and is a predicted model, not a curated record.
CUGUGUAUUAUGAAAUGCAUUAAACACAGAGAUAACACAGCAGCUGCUGCAACAAAGACUACAGCAUACCAAGGUAGAGCAGAGAUGAAACAAUUGUUGUACCAGACUAACACUUCUGUUGCUAUGUCAAGGAAUCCGGAAGAGAUGGUGAAAAGGAAUAUCUAUUCUGAGAGAUCCAAGAGUGAAUGUUAUGCAGAAGGUCAGCUGCGGAACAAAUAUGAAUCUUCAGUUCAGUCAAGAACUUUACCAAAGCCUACCCAAAAGUACAGUCAGCCAGUUGUGGUGACUUCGAAUGAUGAUGCUGUUGAAGUAAGUAGUCUGACAUCAACAUAUCAAACAGGAACGCUGUCUUCCCAGCAAAAUAAUGAACAUGGACAUAGUGUAGGGAAUAUGAAACAUUAUGAAGAAAUACCAGAGAUGUCAGGAAACAAUAUCUACAAAAACAAUGAAGAUUGUACAUUGAAAAAAGAUGAAAACCAGGAAACCUAUCUAAAACAUGCAUAACAUAUAAUAGUUUAUCUUCUAUCUGUCUUAGGGAGGCAAACAUUAUUUGUAACAUUCUUAAACUGAUGUCGUUAAGUUUUAUUUUCUUAAUUAUCUUCACAAAUAGCUUUCAUUAGACAUUCUGAGACAUGACAACUAGAUUUUUUUAAGAUAGGCAACUUUAGUGUCCUUAAAAACCUCUCUGCCAUAAAGACUACAUGUCAGAAUUUGAUGGUUAAUUUUAUUUUCCAUUAAAUACAACACUGUAUGUGUACGUAUGUAUAUAUAUAUAUAUAUAUAUAUAUAUAUAUAUAUGUGUGUGUGUGUGUGCUUAGCUAUAUGUGUGUACAUAUACAUAUAAAUCAAUCCAAGGAAAAAACAAUUUCCUUCAAUGGGAUGGAAAACAUCCAAAUUUCACUGGUUCUUUAGUUAAAUACCACAAGAUAGUAGAGAAAAAAAUCUAUAUUAAAGGAAAUAGAGAAAUACGAUUGACAUAUUAAAAAUUUAUUAAUAUUAUGAUAUAAUAUAAUUAUAAUAUAAAAAGAUAUAAUAUAAUAUAACAAAUAAUUAAAACAAAUGUCUCCCCCAGGGAAUUUAUAAAGAUUCACUUUUAAGCAUAUGAGUCUCUUGAGGGUAGUAUUUGUCUAAAAAAAGACAAAAAUUUCAUGCAAGGACUGCGAAAUUAUAAUAAAAUAGACUUAAUACAUUACCUGUAUUUAUUUUAUACACUUCAGGAAAAUGAAAGACAAAAUCCACCCUGGGAUUUGAACUUAGAACAAGAAGAGACCAAAAUAAAUCCCAAAAGUCAUUUAGUUCAGUACUCAACUGUUUAUGUUGCUCCAAUAAAGCCAAUUUUUUUGUUGUGUGAUUAAUUCGAGAUCACUGGCAAAUUUUAUUGCUAUUAUUUAGUUAGAGUUAUGAAAUACAUGAGAGUUACAUUUUGAUAGCAAAUAUUUAAUUUUACACGAAACAUAGGAUAUAAGAGACCUUUGAUGAUAUUUUAUUUCCUUCAAAAUUUGCUUUCCUCUCUAAACAAAGUCAGUUUAAAAUUCCAUUAUCUUACAUUUAAAUUCUCUGUACUUCACUUUGUUUUCUACAAGCUACUUAACAUUUAUACUGAUAGAUGAAGAAAAGCAAGAGCAUAUGAUUCAAGGGGUAACUCUCUCUCUCUCUCUCUCUCUCUCUCUCUCUCUAUCUCUCUCUCUUUCUCUCUCUCUCUAUCUCUCUCUCUUUCUCUCUCUCUCACACACACACAUUCAACCAAAUGAAAUGUUGUAGCAGGCUCCUCUCUGGUUGAUCAUCGUAAAGCUGUUGUUACAGCAGCAGAGAUCUAGCAGCAACAGCAAUUGUUACAAUGAACUGGUUUAUUUCAAGUGGCAGUGUCAAUCAUAACACAAAACAUAUAAUAUUCUCAGCUACAGAACAAAUAUAAAGUUCAAAGCAGAACUCUUCCCAAACCUUCAUUGACAGAAGUGCAGCCAACCAGUUAUAGUAAACUCUAAUGAUGAUGCUGUAGAAGAUUAUUCAACUUUGCCUUCUAACGCCCCAUCUGGUUCACUCUCUACUCAAUAGGGCAACACCCAAGGGUGGGAAAUUUCAACUUUAUAAAGAAAUACUCGAAAUUUCAAAGUGUACAAGAUGCAUUUUCUCUUGGCACUAGGGAAGUUGCCAUGUCUUCUACAAGAUUGAAAGGAUCCCCUGGUACCUCACUUAACAGAUUGCAUUUUAUUAUGGCACCAGCACAAGAGAGGAAAAGAGUGAGAACAUGAUGGAUAGAUUGUGAGGGGACUGAAAUAUACAUUAAGCAGCAGCCUUGAAUAAGAGUCACCACCAAAAGACAUCCUUGAAACAUGUAGCAAUCAUGAAAACAAUCUUCCCCCAGUCUAUUAAUUAACAUAAUGGAAAUUUUGUUGCAUAAUAUUUGAGUGGAACUUUAAUUUCAAAACCAUGACAAGUCAAACAAUGUAAAUAUUUCCUGUCUGCUACAAUUUACCCAUAUACUAGGCAUAUCAAAGAAAAAAUAGCUUUAAUGAUAGCUACUUUAAAAGACAAACUUUUAUAUCUUGAGGCUUAUUGUUUUAUUUUCUGUUAUCUCAGUAUUCCUUUGCACUGAGUUACGUUUUCUUGAAACUGUUUUUAUCUCAAUAAGAACUAUCGUUGAAGAGGACUCUUUACAAGCUUUCUUUUUCAAGUUUCCCCUUUGAGAAAAGGGGAAAAUAAAAUUAUUUGUAUUUAUUGAUAUUGUGACAUUAAUUCCCCCAAGUCCCAAAAAAAAGAGAAACUAUUUUGUUGGGCGUAUACUUGUAUUUGUAAAUGUUUAUAUGUUUGUGCUCUUUUAAAAAAGAAAGCUUAACUCAAACUUCUCAAACUAAAUGUUUUAAUAAGCUACAAGGGUAAAUUUAGUUGUAAUAAAACUUAUUUUUGACAUGGUUCAUUAAGUUCUUGCUACUUCAGAAAUAUUUCUGUAAAAAAAAAUAAUGUUCAUACAUAGAUAACAUUAAAAAAAAAUGAUAUUUUCUUUAGUAAAAAGUACCAGAAUACAAUGAAAGUAUUCUUGAUGCAGCAAAUUUAAAUAUUUGUCCACCAUUCACAUUCUAUUUGUUGAAGUUUUGUUAUAAAUAAGAAGGUUUUAACUGAAACAAUUUUAUGUACAUCAGUUUGCUUGUUAAACCAAAUUCACAUUAUAAGAAUAUGGUGUAUCAUAAUAUUGUUUCCUUGUAUCAGCAUAAAGUUACAGAUUUGUAAAGAAGUACAAAUGUCUAAAUUCGCCCCAGUACACACUUAUAUCAUCAACCAGCAGAAGAAUGGAAAGCAAAUUUCGAUCCAGUGAGAUCUUGUAAUGGAUAUAAAGGAAUGUAAUAAAAUAACAUAAUAUAUUUAAUUCAGCACCCAAUACACACACACACACACACACACACCUCCUUAUAUCAGAAAACACUCAUUUGGUAUUAUUUCAUAAAAACAAUUUAUAUCUUAGUAAUUACAUGCCAAAUACAUAAUCAUAUUUAAAAUGAAUGGUCAAGAGUAAGAGAAGGUGACAUGCAAAUAUUAGCAUCAAAUAACUGUUUUAAAUUUCUGUUGCACCAACAAAAUUGAUACAGGAUAAUGGAACAGUUAAGCUCAUUUAUUGAAAAUUCCUAUCGACAUGAAUAUAUAUCUUGAGAAAUGAACCAAUUGUUUUACAAGACAUGAUACAGUCAAUAUAUCAAUAUAUCAAAGAAAGUUGAAAUUUUCACUCUAAAUUGUCUGGAUACCAACAAAUAUUGAACCUUCUUUCAAAGAAAAAUACAUCUCCUAAUUAUUACAGAACAUGUUUCCUACCCAAGAGAGUCAAAGGUCUUGAUGGAAUUGACAAUAUUUACUCCAAAGAAUUCCAAUUACACAGUAAACUGUGGUAAAUUUAUGUUUCAAAUAUAUUAAAUGUAUUUUCAAAUGUUUGAUUCACUUUAUAAAAAUCAGUAAAUCUUUUAAACAACAUGUAAAGCUUUGUUAUGAAGGACUCUGGAGAAAAUGUUCAAUACACAAUGAAAGUAGAAAAUUCAUUUGGUAAAGAUGGAUAGACAACAUCGGAUUAAAAGGUUUCAGUAUUAAUGAAAAUUAUAGUUCUGUUAAAUAACACUUUCAUAUCAGACACAUGUUAAAAAGGAAUGAUGAAGGCUAAUAUAUGAUCUUAAAAAACCUAAACCAGUGGAAUACCCAGACUUCAUAACUUUGGCAUGUUAUAUGAUACACAUGCCAAAGCUCCUUUUAAAGCUAGUAAUGGAAUGGUAUAAACAUUAGAGGAAGAGAUAUCAAUAAACCUCUGAAAUUUGUAAAUGAAAAUAUUUAUGACUGGGGAAAGUUACAUAAUUAUUAAUUUUAAAUACACUAAUGGUAAAGGCAAAAUAUUUCAUCAAGAAAAGAAAAUGCAAAUACUGGUAUAUCUAAGAAUAUGGAGAGAAGUAACAUCAAUGUGACCAACAUAGCACUUGGGUUAGAAUAAAUUUGUAAUCAAUUCAUUAAACAAAAACGAGAAUUCAAAAUACUCUUGAUACUUUACAUUAAAUGAAAAAGAAACGGACUUAAAGACUGCUACAUCUGACUAGUUUUUUGUAAGGUUUUUAAACCCCUUUUUACGUAAUAAAGAUUUGGUAAACCAUUGAAUUAUUUGGAGUUGAGUAUUCAGGUAACUGAGUUGUAUAAAAUGAGAGAAAAAUGGAAUGCAUUUCAAAUGUUGAGAUCUAAAGCAGUUCAUAUUUAUAUAACUUCAAAGGAAAUACAGCUCUUUUAGAUUAUCAGAGGAGAGUGUUCCAUAAUGAAAAUUAUUUCAAAAGGAAAGAAAUAGAGUAACAAAAAAAAAAAAGAAGCAAAGACUGAUAUACAUAUAUGAAAGAACAAGAAUUAGGUCAGAAUGCCAAUAAAAUGUAACACAAUUAUAAAAACUACAACAGAGAGAAGUGAUAAGUUGCUUCGAGCUGACCUCUGGUGCAGAUGAUACUCAACUGAUUGAUUGAACAUAUCUUCCUCCAGCAAUGAUUUGUGUUACAUGAGAUAAAAGCCAAGUAAUGGUAGUCUACUCUGAUUUUUUUUUGUCUGCUUUACAAAAUUCAUCCAGUGAAAUACAAGCUCUUGAACAUUAUUUGCUCUACUAUAUCUAAUUUAUUUUGGAAUAUGCAAUUCCCAGAAAAAUUUGAAGCUUUCAGUUAUUGACUAAAUAGAAUGCUUAAAUUUUCAAUAACAGACACAAAACAGUAAAACUAAGUGAAAUUCUAGUUUUUGUUUUCAUGUGUGAUGCUUCAUGUUAUAAAUAAAACAAUGGAUUAAUGUCCAUGAUAACUUGGCAAUUUUAUAUACCAGUCCAUUUGUAUUUCAGAGAAAAAUUUGUUUAUGAACACUCAAUAUUUAACAAUGAAAAAGAAUUCCAACUUGGAUAAUCAUUCAUAAAUUUUAUUUACUUUAUAUUAAUUGACAUUCUUAUGUUUUUGCUGGAGUUUUUUUUUUUCCUAAACAAUAAACAUAUUUUCUGUAAAACUUCUAAAUUUUUUUUGAUAUGUUUACUGCAAUAGGAAAUACAUUCAACUUAUUGCUAAUCAAAUGUAGCCGACAUUGAAUGUUGUGUUUUUUUUUCUUUUCUUUUAUAAGGAUUCAAAGUAAUUUAAAUGUAUUAGCUCAAUUUAUAUAUUCACAUUUUUAAAUCUUAUUUUAUACAGAUUCUGCUUAUGAUGGGUUUUUUUUCUUUUUUUUCAAAUGAUCUCUUGCCUGAAAUUUGAGAUUCACUCAAAUAAUUCUUAAGCUACUAUCAUUCAUUUAUAUUUAAAUAUUUUCAUAUCAAAUUUACUUAAUCAAGACUCGAACACUGUAAAAAUAUUGCACUGGAUAUAGUCUGUAAUGUUCAGUUGAAUUAUAAUAGUGUGACAUAAAAAAAAAGACCAUAAUUAUGUAUUAGUCAGGUUUUCAUGUGUCCUAAUAUGAACAGCAAGAUAUUACCUGUGGUGUCUUUCCUAUUUAAUUCUUUUGUAAUAAAAUACAAAUUAAAGUUAA